ACCUUCGGGUGCGAGUAAAGUGGCGGACGGGUGAGUAACGCGUGGGAAUCUGCCUAGUAGUGGGGGACAACAAUCGGAAACGGUUGCUAAUACCGCAUACGCCCUACGGGGGAAAGGCUUCGGCCGCUAUUAGAUGAGCCCGCGUAAGAUUAGCUUGUUGGUGGGGUAAUGGCCUACCAAGGCAACGAUCUUUAGCUGGUCUGAGAGGACGAUCAGCCACACUGGGACUGAGACACGGCCCAG
Molecule: ribosomal RNA, 243 nt
Filed under: uncultured bacterium
Lineage: Bacteria
Description: partial 16S ribosomal RNA
Rfam family: Bacterial small subunit ribosomal RNA
Source: RNAcentral